CGCAGCCGCGGUAAUUCCAGCUCCAAUGGCGUAUAUUAAAGUUGUUGCAGUUAAAAAGCUCGUAGUUGAAUUUCGGAGUUUGUCGGUUGGUCGGGCUUCACUGUCCGCACUGGCCUGAUAGAUUCCUACCUUCUGAAUAACCAGCAUGCUAUUAAGUUAGUGCGUUGGGGAAGCAGAGCUAUUACCUUGAAAAAUUAGAGUGCUUAAAGCAGGCUUAUGCUUGAAUAGAUUAGCAUGGAAUAAUAAAAUAGGACGGCAUGGUUCUAUUUUGUUGGUUUCUAGGAUCACCGUAAUGAUUAAUAGGGAUAGUUGGGGGCAUUAGUAUUCAAUUGUCAGAGGUGAAAUUCUUGGAUUUAUUGAAGACUAACUUCUGCGAAAGCAUUUGCCAAGGAUGUUUUCAUUAAUCAAGAACGAAAGUUAGGGGAUCGAAGACGAUCAGAUACCGUCGUAGUCUUAACCAUAAACUAUGCCGACUAGGGAUCGGACGAUGUUAAUUUUUUCAAGUGACUCGUUCGGCGCC
RNAcentral lists this ribosomal RNA (520 nucleotides) under uncultured Acaulospora. RNAcentral describes it as "SSU rRNA". It matches the Rfam family "Eukaryotic small subunit ribosomal RNA", at positions 569 to 1087 of the family's 1831-position model. The record is from RNAcentral. Lineage: Eukaryota; Fungi; Glomeromycota; Glomeromycetes; Diversisporales; Acaulosporaceae.